Molecule: ribosomal RNA, 484 nt
Filed under: uncultured bacterium
Lineage: Bacteria
Description: partial 16S ribosomal RNA
Rfam family: Bacterial small subunit ribosomal RNA
Source: RNAcentral
AUUGAACGCUGGUGGCAGACCUAACACAUGCAAGUCGAGCGGAUGGAGGGAGUUUGCUCCUGGAUUCAGCGGCGGACGGGUGAGUAAUGCCUAGGAAUCUGCCUGGUAGUGGGGGAUAACGUCCGGAAACGGGCGCUAAUACCGCAUACGUCCUGAGGGAGAAAGUGGGGGAUCUUCGGACCUCACGCUAUCAGAUGAGCCUAGGUCGGAUUAGCUAGUUGGUGGGGUAAAGGCCUACCAAGGCGACGAUCCGUAACUGGUCUGAGAGGAUGAUCAGUCACACUGGAACUGAGACACGGUCCAGACUCCUACGGGAGGCAGCAGUGGGGAAUAUUGGACAAUGGGCGAAAGCCUGAUCCAGCCAUGCCGCGUGUGUGAAGAAGGUCUUCGGAUUGUAAAGCACUUUAAGUUGGGAGGAAGGGCAGUAAGUUAAUACCUUGCUGUUUUGACGUUACCAACAGAAUAAGCACCGGCUAACUUCGUG